UACAGAGGUCUCAAGCGUUGUUCGGAUUCAUUGGGCGUAAAGGGUGCGUAGGCGGCGCGGUAAGUCGGGUGUGAAAUCUCGGGGCUUAACUCCGAAACUGCAUUCGAUACUGCCGUGCUUGAGGACUGGAGAGGAGACUGGAAUUUACGGUGUAGCAGUGAAAUGCGUAGAGAUCGUAAGGAAGACCAGUGGCGAAGGCGGGUCUCUGGAAAGUUCCUGACACUGAGGCACGAAGGCCAGGGGAGCAAACGGG
RNAcentral lists this ribosomal RNA (253 nucleotides) under uncultured bacterium. RNAcentral's name for it is "partial 16S ribosomal RNA". It matches the Rfam family "Bacterial small subunit ribosomal RNA", at positions 524 to 776 of the family's 1533-position model. The record is from RNAcentral.